CUGAACAUCAUACGCUGAAGUGUCCCUUCCUAAACCGCAAAAGGCAUGGAAAGUACACCGUGGUUUACCACCGGGUUUGCUCAGAAAUGAGCAGGCCUCCCGAUUUGGAAAGGCAAAAAAUGCUACAAGAU
Molecule: non-coding RNA, 131 nt
Filed under: Pseudoalteromonas ulvae
Lineage: Bacteria; Pseudomonadati; Pseudomonadota; Gammaproteobacteria; Alteromonadales; Pseudoalteromonadaceae
Description: MoCo sequence
Rfam family: Molybdenum/Tungsten riboswitch aptamer (Moco RNA motif)
Source: Rfam by way of RNAcentral